Molecule: ribosomal RNA, 236 nt
Filed under: uncultured Desulfuromonas sp.
Lineage: Bacteria; Pseudomonadati; Thermodesulfobacteriota; Desulfuromonadia; Desulfuromonadales; Desulfuromonadaceae
Description: partial 16S ribosomal RNA
Rfam family: Bacterial small subunit ribosomal RNA
Source: RNAcentral
ACUGCCGGUGUCAAACCGGAGGAAGGUGGGGAGUGACGUCAAGUCCUCAUGGCCCUUAUGUCCAGGGCUACACACGUGCUACAAUGGCCGGUACAAAGGGGCGCAAGACCGCGAGGUGGAGCAAAUCCCAAAAAACCGGUCUCAGUUCGGAUUGGAGUCUGCAACUCGACUCCAUGAAGUUGGAAUCGCUAGUAAUCGCGUAUCAGCAUGACGCGGUGAAUACGUUCCCGGGCCUU